GUAGGAUGCGAGCGUUGUCCGGAUUCAUUGGGCGUAAAGAGUUCGUAGGCGGUUUGUUAAGUUUGAUGUUAAAUAUCGGGGCCUAACCUCGAGAGUGCAUUGAAUACUGGCAGACUGGAGUGCAGUAGAGGCGAGUGGAAUUCCCAGUGUAGCGGUGAAAUGCGUAGAUAUUGGGAAGAACACCGGUGGCGCAGGCGACUCGCUGGGCUGUAACUGACGCUGAGGAACGAAAGCUAGGGGAGCAAAUGGGAUUAGAUACCCCAGUAGUCCUAGCUGUAAACGAUGGAUACUAGGCGUUGCAGGUAUCGACCCCUGCAGUGCCGCAGUUAACGCGAUAAGUAUCCCGCCUGAGUAGUACGGCCGCAAGGUUG
Molecule: ribosomal RNA, 371 nt
Filed under: uncultured bacterium
Lineage: Bacteria
Description: bacterial SSU rRNA
Rfam family: Bacterial small subunit ribosomal RNA
Source: RNAcentral